AUGUUAGCCAAGUACCAGAAAUUUCAAACUCCAUUUAAGCUAAUUAAGCAGUCAGCAGACCGCCAACAUAUAACUGGUUGGAGAAGGAAGGGCACAGUGCAAAAUGCAACACACCUGGUGCAGAUACCCCGAGCUGAAAGCCGUGGAGAAUUUGGUGCUUCAGAUCCUGCCCCUCUGCUCUCCCACAAGCUGCCAGCAACCAGGGAAGGCUCUGUCCAGGCCUUAGAAAGGAGAAAUCUUGGAAGACGCACUGGUUUUAUAUUGAUUUUACUUCUGAGGGCUUGGAUCCCAGGUCUGCUCAGAGUCACCGUUAAAAUGAGUGUUUUGGGAACAAAAGCACAGCAGUGCCGUUUUCUUCCUGACUCUUUGGCACCUGUGCAGUUUCCAAGAGAACAAACACUAAUAAGUCUCCUGUCCUUUGAGCUCAUCUUUCUGACACAUCGCUUGACGUAUGCAAUGAAGAGUUUCUUCUGAGAGAGGUCUCCUGAAAAUGUCACUGCAAGUUGCACAUCUGCAUGGACUUGCCUGCAGCUCUCCCUGGAGCCUCAUCCUUCCCUUCCUAUCAUGAUGGCAUGGCUUUCCCUCGGAUCCUAUCCAUGCUGGACAGGAUUACCACAGGCAGAUGACACUAUAUUGAACUCGGAGCAUGAUCUUGGCUUUACUGUGCCGCAGGAGAUCGCCCUCGCAGCCCAGGUGUGCCCAAGCUGGUCACCGCUGUCCCUCCCCUGGAGCAGCCAGGGGGCUCCUCCUGCAGCUCGGGCUGCAUCAGCUCCUGGGCUGCUGCCCUGGGCUUCGGGGACAGGAACCCAGACAGGGCACAAGCAGCAGCAUUUCCCUUGGUAGUGCAGCCCCUUUCCAGGAGGAACUAAACAACAAAUGACUAAGGGAAAACUUAAAUUAUGUGGAAGCCUUGCUUGAGAAACAAGAUGAGGCACUUCAUUAAAAUACAUUAGAAUAGGCAAACAAUCUGUUUAAAUUUCACAUUUUGCCAGCUAUAAAACCUACUCUAGUUUACAGCAGGCCUGAGAAACUGAAACAGCUGGCAAAAUAAUGAAAAACAUUCCUAUUGCCUUCUGCUUAAAUUGCAGGAAGGUUGUAGAGAAAUUGCAUCCUGAUUUAUCUGAAAUAAUGCAAGAAAAACUCUAAUGGGUGAAUUGUGUAGAAAGUAAAGGUGUUUUGUUCAUGUGUGUUUGUUUGUUUGUUUAUUUUCCCCUCCAGCACAGGAGCUACUCAUUUCUGAUGCUAGUUCUUGUUUAAGCUGACCCUUCAGGUUCCCUGCUGGUAUUACUUGAGGCACCAAAGUGACCCAGGAUCAUCCAGAUCGCCCAUUUGCACAUCACUGAUUGCUCAGAAGUGGGCUUGGAUGCCAGCAGGUACUGGGUGGCUCAGUGUGGGCUGCCUAUGCUCCCAGAGCGAGCUGCAGGGCCCUUCUGGUGACACUGGGACUUGAAAAAAUGAUCCUCUCUGUGCACAGCUUGAGGUGAGUCACGGCAGCGAGCCGCCUGCCUGUCCCCAUGCAGCCAGCAGUGGUGUCUGGGCACCCUCGGUCUGUCCUCCUGCAGGACGGUGCAGAGCAGUGAGGCCAUUUCUUGUGCAGAUGACUUUGAUUACCUGCUUGAGGAUCUUUCCUAUCAAUUUGUAAAGACAAGAAUGUGAAUGUCGCUUUGCUGCUGCUGACUCUGAAGUAACGUGGAUUUUUUUGGCAGUUUACUUGACGUUUGAGGUUGCAUAGCCAGUUAUAGACCUACCAGCCCUUCCUUGGGUUACUAACUCCAUUACCACCUCUAUCCAGUUUCAGAAUAAACUCUAAAAUCGUGGUUAAACA
This 1825-nucleotide long non-coding RNA is filed under the name Anas platyrhynchos platyrhynchos (common mallard). RNAcentral describes it as "lncRNA (ENSAPLG00000022140.1)". The record is from RNAcentral. Lineage: Eukaryota; Metazoa; Chordata; Aves; Anseriformes; Anatidae.